GUGCCUUUGUAAGAGGAAAUUUAGGCUGCAGCACCUGAGCAUGAGCUCUUGGAUAACUGGGGGCCACUGGCCACGUAUGGGUGGCCCUUUUAAAAGUGAGCAACACAG
Ochotona curzoniae (black-lipped pika) is the source of this 108-nucleotide small nucleolar RNA. Lineage: Eukaryota; Metazoa; Chordata; Mammalia; Lagomorpha; Ochotonidae. The record is from RefSeq and is a predicted model, not a curated record.